RNAcentral lists this ribosomal RNA (126 nucleotides) under uncultured freshwater bacterium. RNAcentral describes it as "partial 16S ribosomal RNA". It matches the Rfam family "Bacterial small subunit ribosomal RNA", at positions 381 to 524 of the family's 1533-position model. The record is from RNAcentral.
GCCUGAUCCAGCAAUGCCGCGUGAGUGAUGAAGGCCUUCGGGUCGUAAAGCUCUUUUACCAGGGAUGAUAAUGACAGUACCUGGAGAAUAAGCUCCGGCUAACUCCGUGCCAGCAGCCGCGGUAAU